GAUGAACGCUAGCGGCAAGCUUAAUACAUGCAAGUCGAGGGGGCAGCGAUGACUGUAGCAAUACAGUUGAUGGCGACCGGCAAACGGGUGCGGAACACGUACAGAACCUUCCGUUCGAGCGGGGAAUAGCCCAGAGAAAUUUGGAUUAAUACCCCAUAGUAUAGUUGGAGUGGCAUCACUUUAAUAUUAAAGAUUUAUCACUUGAAGAUGGCUGUGCGGCUGAUUAGAUAGUUGGCGGGGUAACGGCCCACCAAGUCUGCGAUCAGUAACUGGGU
Molecule: ribosomal RNA, 275 nt
Filed under: uncultured bacterium
Lineage: Bacteria
Description: partial 16S ribosomal RNA
Rfam family: Bacterial small subunit ribosomal RNA
Source: RNAcentral